GCCGGGCGCGGUGGCGCGCGCCUGUAGUCCUAGCUACUCGGGAGGCUGAGGCAGGAGGAGCGCUUGAGUCCAGGAGUUCUGGGCUGCAGUGCGCUAUGCCGAUCGGGUGUCCGCACUAAGUUCGGCAUCAAUAUGGUGACCUCCCGGGAGCGGGGGACCACGGGUUGCCUAAGGAGGGGUGAACCGGCCCAGGUCGGAUGUGGCUGAGCAGAAGAUUAUCCUGAAUCAUCCCAGUUCCAUUUAUCUCAUCACUUGGGUCUCAUUGCAAAUCCCAGGCCAGUCAGAGGAAGGAGACAGUACACUAACCCU
RNAcentral lists this small RNA (309 nucleotides) under Castor canadensis (American beaver). RNAcentral's name for it is "Metazoan signal recognition particle RNA (ENSCCNG00000017803.1)". It matches the Rfam family "Metazoan signal recognition particle RNA", at positions 1 to 219 of the family's 299-position model. Rfam says of the family: The signal recognition particle (SRP) is a universally conserved ribonucleoprotein. It is involved in the co-translational targeting of proteins to membranes. The eukaryotic SRP consists of a 300-nucleotide 7S RNA and six proteins: SRPs 72, 68, 54, 19, 14, and 9. The record is from Rfam by way of RNAcentral. Lineage: Eukaryota; Metazoa; Chordata; Mammalia; Rodentia; Castoridae.